CACAGCCAUUUGUGGGAUUUUACUGCACGCUAACAGAGCAUCCAGCUCCUGGCUAUCAAUGCGUAAGGCUCUAGGGACCAGGUAACACGUGCAAAAUAAACUGCUACGGCAUUGAAGCAGAGAUAUCAGUCAUUGCCACUUUCAGCUCUUGUUGCUAAGUGGUCCCAAAUGGCACCAUAGUUCUUGCAUGAAUCCACUGGAAGAGUCACUUCUGGGGAGGAAUGGCUCUGGGAACUGCACAGCUCCCAGCACACAUAGGUUGCGUUUGUUGGGAGCAAUGCAUUGUGAGAACACCAAUGUGAUGUCACCUCCUCCUUCAUCAGUUGUGAUGUUCCAGGCCCACCGCAGCCAUCGCGUGCAUCAGGGAGAUCUGUUCGUUGGCUUCAGCAUGGAUACAGGGAGAAGGAAAACACCAGGAGAGCAGAGCUCUCCUUCUAAAGAACCUCGGCAGUUUAACAGUCCAGAAGUGCUGCCAGUCAGCAUGAGAGGGGACAGAAUGUCUUGCACAAGAUGCAGCAGAUGAAAUUCACCUCGGGGUCGAUACCGCUGUUGUUUUGAAUGACUGAAAGUGGAGAAAAACACAAACAUAGAAGAAGAUUUAAAUUGAACUCAGCUUGCUGAAUGGCAUGGAGGAUUCAUCAAGGCCUUUAAAUAAUUCUUCUAAAGCCUCUUAUCUUCCCCCAUCUCCUUCUUGGGCUCAUGCAUCCCCUGCUCCUCUGUGCUGCUCACCAGGAGCUGGUGCAGCCAGAUGUGAUGCUGUGAUUCUCAGCUGGCUCUUCCUCAGCGACUGGCUGGACUUCAGGUGGUGUAUUUCUCGGCUGCUAUUCAACCACAAUCAGCAAGACGUUCUUCUUCAAGACAUGAUUUAGAUCAAGUAAUCUUUGUUUUCAGUAGUGCUGCAUCAUAAAAUUAGGUAAUUACUUUUGUAAAUCUGUCAGGGCGCUGAGUAAUUAUCUAAUUUAGAACGUUUAAAAUAAAAGACAGGAAAAUUCCA
This 994-nucleotide long non-coding RNA is filed under the name Numida meleagris (helmeted guineafowl). Its description in RNAcentral is "lncRNA (ENSNMEG00000005388.1)". Lineage: Eukaryota; Metazoa; Chordata; Aves; Galliformes; Numididae. The record is from RNAcentral.